Molecule: ribosomal RNA, 497 nt
Filed under: uncultured bacterium
Lineage: Bacteria
Description: partial 16S ribosomal RNA
Rfam family: Bacterial small subunit ribosomal RNA
Source: RNAcentral
GAUGAACGCUGGCGGCGUGCCUAAUACAUGCAAGUCGAGCGAACAGACGAGGAGCUUGCUCCUCUGACGUUAGCGGCGGACGGGUGAGUAACACGUGGAUAACCUACCUAUAAGACUGGGAUAACUUCGGGAAACCGGAGCUAAUACCGGAUAAUAUAUUGAACCGCAUGGUUCAAUAGUGAAAGACGGUUUUGCUGUCACUUAUAGAUGGAUCCGCGCCGCAUUAGCUAGUUGGUAAGGUAACGGCUUACCAAGGCAACGAUGCGUAGCCGACCUGAGAGGGUGACCGGCCGGACGGGAACUGAGACGCGGUCCUGACUACUACGGGAGGAAGCAGUAGGGAAUCUUCGGCAAUGGGCGAUAGCCUGACGGAGCAACGCCGCGUGAGUGAUGAAGGUCUUCGGAUCGUAAAACUCUGUUAUUAGAGAAGAACAAUUGUGUAAGUACCUAUGCACGUCUUGACGGUACCUAAUCAGAAAGCCACGGCUAACUACGUG